AUUGAACGCUGGCGGCAGGCCUAACACAUGCCAGUCGAGCGGAUGAAGGGAGCUUGCUCCUGGAUUCAGCGGCGGACGGGUGAGUAAUGCCUAGGAAUCUGCCUGGUAGUGGGGGAUAACGUCCGGAAACGGGCGCUAAUACCGCAUACGUCCUGAGGGAGAAAGUGGGGGAUCUUCGGACCUCACGCUAUCAGAUGAGCCUAGGUCGGAUUAGCUAGUUGGUGGGGUAAAGGCCUACCAAGGCGACGAUCCGUAACUGGUCUGAGAGGAUGAUCAGUCACACUGGAACUGAGACACGGUCCAGACUCCUACGGGAGGUAGCAGUGGGGAAUAUUGGACAAUGGGCGAAAGCCUGAUCCAGCCAUGCGGCGUGUGUGAAGAAGGUCUUCGGAUGGUAAAGCACUUUAAGUUGGGAGGAAGGGCAGUAAGUUAAUACCUUGCUGUUUUGACGUUACCAACAGAAUAAGCACCGGCUAACUUCGUG
RNAcentral lists this ribosomal RNA (484 nucleotides) under uncultured bacterium. RNAcentral's name for it is "partial 16S ribosomal RNA". It matches the Rfam family "Bacterial small subunit ribosomal RNA", at positions 30 to 507 of the family's 1533-position model. The record is from RNAcentral.